Long non-coding RNA from Astyanax mexicanus (Mexican tetra), 857 nucleotides. RefSeq lists it as uncharacterized. The transcript is spliced from 2 exons. The record is from RefSeq and is a predicted model, not a curated record. NCBI's taxonomy places the organism in Eukaryota, Metazoa, Chordata, Actinopteri, Characiformes, Acestrorhamphidae.
CUUGGGGAGAGAGAGAGAGAGCUGCGCUGCGUACCUCGCCUGCUUAUCUCCUGCAAGGGGAUGGUGUCCCCUCCCCCGUCGUAGGCAGCUGACCACUGAAGACCAAUGACAUCACCCACAUUAAGGAGAGCUGGUUGCUAUGGGCGACUGCCGGGCCAGACCAUUCAGUCCUGAUCUGUGGGGGGAGUGCGAAGGGCAGCUCUAGAGCAGAGUAGUUCAUUUCAUCAGCAGUAGGGGUGCCCAGGCAUAUGGAUUAAAGGCUCUGGUCAGGCCAGGGUUUCCCAAAAGACAGUCUUGGAGGCCUUUCACCUGCACUGCGUGAUUAGCUGCUUUUCUCCUGUGAAUGUUCUGCUCAAGAAAUAGCUGAAAAUACGUGUUAUGAUAUUGACAGAUAAGCAUAUUGUGAUUAUUGUUAAAUACUAAUGUAUUUGCACAGUGUGUGUAUGUGUAACCAUGCUUAGAAAAAGGCAAUGAUGUGAAGAGUUGCACCCAGAAGGUGCAAAGUGUCAGAUUGCAAUGUUAUUUAGAAUGAAGAUAAGGAGUACUGACAACAAUAAAUGAUUAAUUCUAAUAUAUGUAGACUAAUAUAGGCACCUCUUGGUUGUUUACAGCUCUGGAAAUAAAUAAGAGCCCACUUAAUAAUGAGGAGUUUCUUUGAUUUUACCAAACUGAAAACCUUUAGAAUAUAAUCAAGAGAAAGAUGGAUGAUCACAAGCAAUCAAAUCAAGCUGAACUAACCAAUUUCUUGUAUUAGGAGUGGCAUACAGUUUUCCAAAAGCAGUGUGUAAGACUGGUGGAGGAGAACAUGCCAAGAUGCAUGAAAACUGUAAUUAAAAAACAGGGUUAUUCCACCAAAU